Molecule: transfer RNA, 66 nt
Filed under: Novofoudrasia regularis
Lineage: Eukaryota; Metazoa; Arthropoda; Insecta; Coleoptera; Chrysomelidae
Description: tRNA-Tyr
Source: RNAcentral
GAUAAAAUGGCUGAGCUAUAGGCAAUAAAUUGUAAAUUUAUUAACGAAUAAAUAAUUCUUUUAUCA